GAGUUUGAUCAUGGCUCAGAUUGAACGCUGGCGGCAUGCUUUACACAUGCAAGUCGAACGGUAACAGGGAGCUUGCUCCGCUGACGAGUGGCGAACGGGUGAGUAAUGCGUCGGAACGUGCCGAGUAGUGGGGGAUAACGCAUCGAAAGGUGUGCUAAUACCGCAUACGAACUGAGGUUGAAAGUGGGGGACCUUCGGGCCUCACGCUAUUCGAGCGGCCGACGUCUGAUUAGCUAGUAGGUGAGGUAAAGGCUCACCUAGGCGACGAUCAGUAGCGGGUCUGAGAGGAUGAUCCGCCACACUGGGACUGAGACACGGCCCAGACUCCUACGGGAGGCAGCAGUGGGGAAUUUUGGACAAUGGGCGCAAGCCUGAUCCAGCCAUGCCGCGUGUCUGAAGAAGGCCUUCGGGUUGUAAAGGACUUUUGUCUGGGAGCAAAUACCCGGUGUUAAUAGCGCCGGGGGCUGAGAGUACCAGAAGAAUAAGCACCGGCUAACUACGUGCCAGCAGCCGCGGUAAUACGUAGGGUGCAAGCG
This 536-nucleotide ribosomal RNA is filed under the name uncultured bacterium. RNAcentral describes it as "bacterial SSU rRNA". It matches the Rfam family "Bacterial small subunit ribosomal RNA", at positions 9 to 540 of the family's 1533-position model. The record is from RNAcentral.